RNAcentral lists this ribosomal RNA (253 nucleotides) under uncultured bacterium. RNAcentral's name for it is "partial 16S ribosomal RNA". It matches the Rfam family "Bacterial small subunit ribosomal RNA", at positions 524 to 776 of the family's 1533-position model. The record is from RNAcentral.
UACGGAGGAUCCAAGCGUUAUCCGGAUUCAUUGGGUUUAAAGGGUGCGUAGGCGGAACGAUAAGUCAGUGGUGAAAGCCCUCAGCUUAACUGAGGAACUGCCAUUGAUACUGUCGAUCUUGAGUACAUUUGAUGUGGGCGGAAUGUGUCAUGUAGCGGUGAAAUGCUUAGAUAUGACACAGAACACCGAUUGCGAAGGCAGCUCACAAAACUGUAACUGACGCUGAGGCACGAAAGCGUGGGUAUCAAACAGG